GGAAGGGRUGUAUUUAUUAGAUAAAAAACCAAUGCCCUUCGGGGCUCCUUAGUGAAUCAUAAUAACUUAACGAAUCGCAUGGCCUUGCGCCGGCGAUGGUUCAUUCAAAUUUCUGCCCUAUCAACUUUCGAUAGUAGGAUAGUGGCCUACUAUAGUAGCAACGGGUAACGGGGAAUUAGGGUUCGACUCCGGAGAGGGAGCCUAAGAAACGGCUACCACAUCCAAGGAAGGCAGCAGGCGCGCAAAUUACCCAAUCCCGAUACGGGGAGGUAGUGACAAUAAAUACUAAUACAGGGCUCUUUUAGGUCUUGUAAUUGGAAUGAGUACAAUUUAAAUCCCUUAACGAGGAACAAUUGGAGGGCAAGUCUAGUGCUAGCAGCCGCGGUAAUUCCAGCUCCAAUAGCGUAUAUUAAAGUUGUUGCAGUUAAAAAGCUCGUAGUUGAACCUUGGGCCUAGCUGGCCGGUCUGCCUUACCGCGUGUACUGGUCCGGCCGGGCCUUUCCUUCUAGGGAGCCGCAUAGCUUUCACUGGCCGUGUCGGGGAACCAGGACUUUUAC
Molecule: ribosomal RNA, 557 nt
Filed under: uncultured Pezizomycotina
Lineage: Eukaryota; Fungi; Ascomycota
Description: SSU rRNA
Rfam family: Eukaryotic small subunit ribosomal RNA
Source: RNAcentral